UGGGAAGACGGUAGCUUAGUGGUAGAGUGUCUUGCAUGCAGAAGGUUCCAGGUUCAAAUCCUGGUAUCUCAA
Molecule: non-coding RNA, 72 nt
Organism: Podarcis lilfordi (Lilford's wall lizard)
Lineage: Eukaryota; Metazoa; Chordata; Lepidosauria; Squamata; Lacertidae
Source: the annotation of a GenBank genome assembly